Molecule: ribosomal RNA, 517 nt
Filed under: uncultured Staphylococcus sp.
Lineage: Bacteria; Bacillati; Bacillota; Bacilli; Caryophanales; Staphylococcaceae
Description: bacterial SSU rRNA
Rfam family: Bacterial small subunit ribosomal RNA
Source: RNAcentral
AGAGUUUGAUCCUGGCUCAGGAUGAACGCUGGCGGCGUGCCUAAUACAUGCAAGUCGAGCGAACAGAUAAGGAGCUUGCUCCUUUGAAGUUAGCGGCGGACGGGUGAGUAACACGUGGGUAACCUACCUAUAAGACUGGGAUAACUUCGGGAAACCGGAGCUAAUACCGGAUAACAUUUAGAACCGCAUGGUUCUAAAGUGAAAGAUGGUUUUGCUAUCACUUAUAGAUGGACCCGCGCCGUAUUAGCUAGUUGGUAAGGUAACGGCUUACCAAGGCGACGAUACGUAGCCGACCUGAGAGGGUGAUCGGCCACACUGGAACUGGGACACGGUCCAGACUCCUACGGGAGGCAGCAGUAGGGAAUCUUCCGCAAUGGGCGAAAGCCUGACGGAGCAACGCCGCGUGAGUGAUGAAGGGUUUCGGCUCGUAAAACUCUGUUAUUAGGGAAGAACAAAUGUGUAAGUAACUGUGCACAUCUUGACGGUACCUAAUCAGAAAGCCACGGCUAACUACGUG